Molecule: long non-coding RNA, 2143 nt
Filed under: Salvator merianae (Argentine black and white tegu)
Lineage: Eukaryota; Metazoa; Chordata; Lepidosauria; Squamata; Teiidae
Description: lncRNA (ENSSMRG00000022434.1)
Source: RNAcentral
AAGCAACGUGUUUCUGGGCCUUUCUGGGCCUGUUGUUCACCUUUGAUACAUUAUAGUAUCUUUUAGGUAAGAGUUAGUUUUCACUGACUUCCCUUUAUGAAAAAUUGUCAUCAGUAAUAAUUUGAGCAUCCGGUUUUGACAGGCUGGACUCUUGAGGAAUAGGUUAACAGCAAUGUUCAUAACAGUGCUUCAUGGAGAAAACAAAGCUGACAUUUUUAACAUUCACUGUAAAACCCAGCUUCUCUUAGAUGCCAUCAAGCACCGCUGUGACUGUGAGGAAGAAGAUGAAAUAGAGUUGGCAGAUGAGAAUGGCCAAAUAAAGAAUUUACUUCAGAACAAACACUGCACUGCAGCUGACCUUCUUGGAGAACGCGAAACCUACGUGCUCAUUAGUGUGGAGACUAAACUAGGGAACUGGCAAGAACGCAAAGUCCCCUCUCCCAGGAUGAAAUCUAGAAGGCCGCACAAAAAAGCCGUUUUGGAUAUCACAACCACCGAAGGCUUACGAAAUCAUUCUCCUCAUAGCAGUCGAGCAAGGACACCCAUUGCUUCUCCAAAACAAAGCAGGAAAUUCUGAUUUUCUGUUGGACUUCAGGUCAUAGGCACUGCUUAUUUUGCAGAGGGGCUGCAAUUUUAUUGGCUCAUACCUGGGAGUUAGCUGCAGGGAACAGAAGGAGCCUUGAUUAUGGGUUAGAAAAGAAGACAUCCAUGCUGUAUUCCAGAAUAUCGAAAUAUAGUGGAAUAAGUAAAUGAUGUCAGAAUGCAGCCUAAGAGAAAGUGGGUGGGGGCAUUGGUAUCCACAAGGGGUGUUAUGUAUGCCUUUGGGAGCUAAAUUUGGAGACUGUUGUUUCCCUAUUUUUUUCCUAGAGGUGAUGGGUUUUGUUUUUGGCUACUUCAGAACUUUGACACUUUUUUAGUUUGAGUUCGUUUUUCCCAAACACCUUUUGUCUAUUAUUGUCUUUCCAAAUGGCUCUUUGAUCCAGGAAAGGGGCAGCUUGCUUCUGAUGCAAGACCACAAGAGUUACCAGCCAGAAGAUGGAACUGACUUCCAAGGGUCUCAAACACUCUCAGAAAUCACAGGAAGACCUGUGCCCCAACUCAGAUGUGACCAAAGUCAAUAGUGAAAUAACUCAGAAAUGCCAGCAAUGUCGUAAAUCAGUAUCGCCACAGCUCAGAAGUACAAGAGCCUGCAGGUUUCUGCAUUACAGGGCAGUGUAACAAGAUCAGGCCUACUUUAAAAAAGAAGAAAAAUCUUCCAGNCCAACUGCAGAUGGAAAAGAUACUCCCUAAAAGCCGCCUUGAUCAGUUUCUUCAGAGGAAAGUAGAAAUGCAAAGUAUCCCCUGACGGUUNCGUUCUGAUAAAAUCACUCAGACCCAUUUACACUGCUUUUCUACAAGUUAACCUUGAGGCCCACAUGUAAGAGAGCAUAUAUUGCAACUCCACCCAGAUUUUCUGAGUGGAAAAAAUGUAUCAUUUUUUAAAAGUUACCUCCUUCCACUAUGUGGACAGGUACACCUGGACUCUGGUUUGUGUAGGGAAGGAAAGGACUGUAUUUGGAAGAGAAUGCCUUUCCCUAUAGCAAACUGGAAGCAGAAGCCCUAUGGAUCAAUAAUCAGUUCUCUGCAGGAAAACACUCUCUUCCCAGUAAUGCUUCUCCCCUCCCUGCAUGAACUGGAGUUCAGGAGUAUCUGCAUUCACCAGAGGGGUCAGGUUACCUUCAAAAGGAAAGAUUUUCUGCUCCCUCAUGUGGAAUGGUAGCUAUCUCAUAUCCUUAGCUGAGUGCACAUUUUUUAUUGGUAGUGGUGAUCAGAAGAAUUGACUUCAAGUGGAUUUGGCAAACCCCUAGUUUACCAGCUGACUUUAUGCCUACAUUGGCAGAAUUAUGAGCAUAUGUUAGCUUUCNCCCUUUCCUAGAACUCAGCCACCCUUGUUAGCUUUUGUUACAGAUGCAGCCUUUCCUCUGUGUUGUGAUUAAUCUUUGCAUGUGCUGCUGGGAACUGCUAGAUGUUUUGAGAACUCAAGACCAUAGGGGAGGUGAUCUUGGUAUGAGUUGUCGGAGCUAGGUGGAAAUAGGAUGUUUGAUAUAUACUCUGUNUUGAAUAAUACACUUUGUGAUUGUUUAUUAAAUAAAGCUGAUAAGCA